CGUGGAAGUGGCGCUCCUGGAUUUGAUGAUGGCUUAUGUCGAAGAUCCUAAAUCCCCCAGCAUCCAGGAGAAACUCCGGGGGCUGCAGCAGGAACUGGAGGCGCAGAGGAAAGAUGAGUGCCACCACAGCUGGAUGUCUGAGAUAAUCCAGAGCUGGACCGAGAUCUCCCUGGAAGAGCAGGAGCAGUUCCUGGAAUACCUGGCCUAUUGCUUCCAGAGGCAGGAGCAGGACCCCAGGUGGCGAGUGCAAACAUCACUGAUGGGUGAGGUUGCAUAUUGGGACUAUUUUGUUUUUCUGUUUAAAACUUCUAUAUGCUGCUCCAAGUGGGAAUGGG
RNAcentral lists this long non-coding RNA (335 nucleotides) under Urocitellus parryii (Arctic ground squirrel). RNAcentral describes it as "lncRNA (ENSUPAG00010001461.1)". Lineage: Eukaryota; Metazoa; Chordata; Mammalia; Rodentia; Sciuridae. The record is from RNAcentral.